UUACGGCCACACCACAUCGAGAUACCGAUUUACGUACGAUCAACGAAGUUAAGCAACGUCGAGCCUUGUCAGUACUUAGAUGGGUGAGCACUUGGGAAUACCACCAGAUGCC
Molecule: non-coding RNA, 112 nt
Organism: Acanthosepion pharaonis
Lineage: Eukaryota; Metazoa; Mollusca; Cephalopoda; Sepiida; Sepiidae
Source: the annotation of a GenBank genome assembly